AUUAGCACCGGUUUGAACCGGUGCCAUUUGAAAAAAAAUUUCGGUUUAAGGCGCGUCUUCUUCUUCAAUUCAUUUCCUUGCUCUUUCCUCUUCGUUCUCAUCUAAUCUGCCUUUCUCUCUCCUCCAUUGUAGCGUACUCGAAUUUCUCCAUUGAAGGGGCUUCUGAGCUCUUCUAACACUCCGUCUCUCUCCUUUGAUCUCCUUCUCCAUAACCGUCACUUUCCCUUUCCUUUCUUCUCUCUUUCGAUCUCCUUCUCCUUCUCCUUCUCUCUUUCUACAAUAUUGGAGGUUAGGGUUUUUGGGUGCGUCUAUUUGAAUCAAUUCGAUGUGCGUGCGUCUUCAAUAACAACAAAUUCGAAUCAAUUUCGAACCAAAAAUCAGAAAUUCGAGGUCCUGCCCUUUUGGUUGAUGUACUAAGGGAUAGCAACAUAACUGGUUAGAGAAUCGUCUCUCAAAGCAUAAUAAGUUUCUGCAUCAUAUGCGAGUUGAACAUAAGGAUCUAGUGCCACCCAUGAUCAUUUCUGGAAAUCAGUUUACAAUGAUCAGUCAACACCAAGUAGCUGCAAGGGAAUACUUGGAAGCGCAUAAACAAAUGCCAAAUUCCCCACUGACCAAUCUCUGUGUCGGGACUGCCUUAAUCAAUUUAGCCCUUGGACAUAGACUUCAAAAACAAGCAUCAGUGUGUUGCACAAGGCUUAGCUUUCCUUUACAACAAUCUGCGACUUUGUGAAAAUAGCCAGGAAACCUUGUAUAAUAUAACUCGUGCAUUCCACCACGCAGGACUUCUCACAUUUCAGGAAGUCUUUUUGGGCUGCUAUUUUUUGUUUUGUUCUCCGUAGUUUUGGCUUUGUGUUAGGUGUUGUCCCGGUCCCUGUUUUAAGUGUAAUGCAAGAAAGGUCGAUCAGAGAUAAGUCUGGAUUAUUUAAUUUUUUUUGGGACGAAAAUUGUAAUAUUACAGGCUUUAUAGCCUUUUUUAAUGAAAAUAUGUAAGUUUAUAUACAUGUUAAUGUUUCUAUAUCAAUUUAAGUGAAAAAAAUGCAAAAAAAAAAUUUUAUUUUUUAUUUUUUUGGGGUAUUUCUGGCACCGGUUUGUACCAGAACCGGUGCCAAAAGUUUUUUAAAUUUUUUUUUGAGACUAUUGGCACCGGUUUUAGCCAAGAACCGAUGCCUAAAGUGCAGUUUUUCGCACCGGUUCUUGCCUAAUACCGGUGCCAAUAGUGUUGAUAAUAAAAAAAAAAUUCGCGCGUUUGAAGUUGGCACUGGUUAACCGAUGCCGAAGCCUUUAGUUGGCACUGGUUCAAAACCGGCGCCAAAUUUUUGAGGAUUUGGCAUCCCUCAAAUCCCCAACGGUUCAAAACCGGGGCCUUAGGGGGGGUUUGAACCGGUGCCAAAUUACCUUUUUCGUCUAGUGUUACAAGAAGAGGUCAGCCCAAAACAAGAAGAACAGGAGGGGCGAUUCAUUGGAAAAUGCGGUUGAAUCUACCGACUAUCAGGGUUCGAUGUCAGCUGUACAACAUGCUAAACGGAUGGCGGCGGAGAAUUAAGACCAGCUCCCAACAGCUCAUGAGCUUUUCCUGAAGAUGCACUUCAAGGAAGUGCCUGGGAAAGGCACAGUACCAGCCAACCCCAAAGCACAGCAUAUUGCGGAGGCCUACCAGAAGAAAGUUGAAGAAGCAAGCACCCAAAGGAUUUGGAAGAGUCCAAAUGAGCUGUAUUGGGAAACUGUAGGUGGUUGCAACAAGAAGGGUCGUGUGAAGGGACUUGGCUAAGGUGCAGAGCUGUAUUAUGGAAACAGGAAGGGUUUAGGUUCCAAGUCUUCCCAGCAGUACACACCUUCCAUAUUUUCCCAGAUGCAGGAUUAGGUGGAACAGAGGGUGCAAGCUAUGCGGAGUGAAAUGGAAGUCGAGAUGGAGGCUCGAUUGGCCGAAAUAGAAAGGAGAAACCAAGAGAGGUAUGAUGAGUUGAUGCGUCGAUUCUCCAGCAACGACCCAUGUUAUAACAUUCCACAUCAGAGUCGAGACCCCACAAACGACCUGGGUAGCGGCGGUGCAGGGCAAGGUACUUCGGCUGUAGCUUAGAAUUUAUGUAUAUAGUAUGUACAUGUAUUUAGAUUUAGAUUAUGUUGUAUAGUUGCACACAAUGUAUACAUUAUUAUAAAUA
Molecule: RNA transcript, 2159 nt
Organism: Chenopodium quinoa (quinoa)
Lineage: Eukaryota; Viridiplantae; Streptophyta; Magnoliopsida; Caryophyllales; Amaranthaceae
Exons: 7
Source: RefSeq, a predicted model, not a curated record